This is a long non-coding RNA of Sciurus carolinensis (gray squirrel), 622 nucleotides long. RefSeq lists it as uncharacterized. The transcript has 3 exons. Lineage: Eukaryota; Metazoa; Chordata; Mammalia; Rodentia; Sciuridae. The record is from RefSeq and is a predicted model, not a curated record.
AGGGCCUUGGUCUCAGAGCCGCCAUUCUCCGGAUCCACUUCUGGCUUUUCCUCCUGUGCUCAGGAGCCCCAGGUUUCUGUGCGACACAGGGAAGGAGAGACUCAGAGGAAGAACGCGGGGCAGAGUGAAGAGCAGGAAAUGUUGCACAUGAAAAUUCAUUUUGGUAUGAUUAUUGAAGCAUGGAAUAUAUCUCUAAUGAGGUCCAAUUUCUUCUGGAUGUUCAUGAUUGUGAAAAUACUAUGGUGUAUUCGCACAGACACAUUAUCACAAUAUUUUGUGUUAAGAUUCACCAGUGAAGAAUUGACUGUGUGAUCCUUGUUAUCUCAACCUGUCAAGUCUUCCUAGUCCUGUCCUUCAGAAAUGAUCGAUAUAAGAUGCCCACAUCUGCUGUGUCCAUAACUCCAUGGGGUAUGUAGUGAAUUUCAACCUCUGAGUCUUGUCCUCUUGGAGAGCAGUUUGAAUUGUUGGGUGGAGUCUCUCAAGAGAGUAGCUGGAUGCCCUAGAACCUGGAGGAAUCUCUUGACAUUAAGUGAUUCUAAAUAUUAUUCCAGUGGCCCAGGAGGCUGAGGCAGGAGGAUCACAAUUUAAAACCAGCUGCAGCAACUUAACCAGGCACUGAGCA